CAGUCGCCACGGGAAUACGUAGGGUGCAAGCGUUAAUCGGAAUUACUGGGCGUAAAGCGUGCGCAGGCGGUUAUAUAAGACAGAUGUGAAAUCCCCGGGCUCAACCUGGGAACUGCAUUUGUGACUGUAUAGCUAGAGUACGGCAGAGGGGGAUGGAAUUCCGCGUGUAGCAGUGAAAUGCGUAGAUAUGCGGAGGAACACCGAUGGCGAAGGCAAUCCCCUGGGCCUGUACUGACGCUCAUGCACGAAAGCGUGGGGAGCAAACAGGAUUAGAUACCCCCGUAGUCCCUGUCUCUUAUAA
This 301-nucleotide ribosomal RNA is filed under the name uncultured bacterium. RNAcentral's name for it is "partial 16S ribosomal RNA". It matches the Rfam family "Bacterial small subunit ribosomal RNA", at positions 509 to 809 of the family's 1533-position model. The record is from RNAcentral.